AUGGCAGAUGGUGAAGAGGACACCGGAGGUGCAGGAGUUGGUGCUGGUGGGGAGCUCGUGAGCCCUGACAGCGGUAUGACCACCAUCCGCAGCAGCCGCUCCUCCAAAGAGAGUUCAGUGUUCCUCAGCGACGACAGCCCGGUGGGUGAAGUUAUAGCAGGAGGCGGGCCAGCAGCAGGACCAGGUGGACUUUUCCUCAGAAACCCCUCUCCCCUGGGGUUAUUAUCCCUCUCCCCUCCUGUCCCACCUGAGAGGAGGAAACACCGCCCUAGCAGAAAUAAGAGUGAUAACGUUGACUUGUUUAGUUUUGACCCCCUACACAGCAGUGACCACUCUAUGCCAACAGGAGGAGAACUGGCAAGUGCUGGAAUAAGAGCAGAUGGAGAAAAAAGAGCAGAGAGCUCCAGCUUUUCCGAACUUGAAGAGCUGAGCUUGUUAGAUUUCUCCGGUCCAAAUUCACUGGGCGGGUUUGAAAGUAGAGAUUCUUCAAUUGAUAAUCAUGGUCAAAUUCAUGGGAAAUACAUGAUUGAUACCGUGGUUCCUCCAACCCCAGUCAAUAGUGUGGUAGGCAGUCGUCCACCUAGCAGUUGCGGGGUCAGAUUCUUUCCAGAAGAUGUUGUUGAAAGGAUCAAUGGGCUGCAGCAUAAAGACAGUGUGUCAUCGUCAUUGUCAGAGACCUGGGAUGAUCUUGGCUUUGACACACAAGGAGCAUCAACCUCAAGUGAUAAUAUUGUCUGGAAUAGGAUCAAGGGAUCUGAGAGUCCACUGAAUAUUCUGGAAGAUGUUAGCGGGAAAGAGUCAGUUGAUGAUAUGACAGGAGAAGAAGGCAGAGAAGAAACUAUACAGUCGGAGAAGGUCCACCAGAAAGGAAAAGUCCUUGAACCCCAGCUUAGUCUGAUCACUGAGCAGGCUGAAUCAUACGACAACUGGAACCUAGAUAGUGCACUUAAAGAUGAAUGGAACCCUGUUUCCUUGGCAUGUCUGCAAUUGACACCACCAGAGGAGGACGUAGCUGGAAAAUGGAGGGCUGCCAUCAUUGGAGUGAAAGAAAAAGUAUCCUCAAUGUCGAGAAAGAAAGCAAUCCUAAACACUUUGACACCGGACACAUCGAAAGAAGAGGAUGAAGGGGUACAAGGAAAAAAAGGAGACAGAAAGAUGGAGAUCCUAGACUUUUGGACGUACUCUGCACAGAAGGGAUUUCUCAAAUCAGACAGCGGAACCACCACAUCUUACCCGGAAUCACUGGAUAUGUGGAAUAUGACAAUUAGAGAUGACAGUCUAUCACCUCUCACGACCCCUGACAACUUGUCUGAAACCUCAGGUUCUUUCUGUAGGACGAACUCCAAUGUUGGGGCAGGCACAUCUGUGGAAAGUCCACUCGGAUACUCUGAAGGUGGAAUGGUGAUGUGGAACACCACCAUACGGGAAGACAGCUCUUCCACGAUAACAAGCCCUGAGGGAGCUGAAAAUCAAAAGGACCUUAGUCACACGGGAUCGUUGGAUGGUGGUGAUUCUCCUGGGACACAUGCAAGCAAACAGGUGGAAGAAGAGAAGACUAUAGAGGAGGAGAGCGGUAUACACAAAGUGCUUAGUGAGACUGUCGACGAAGUGAGGUGGAGAGGUAACGAACACAAUGUUAAAAUAGUCAUAGAGGCGGCUGAAAGUGAAACGAUGGGUGAGGAAACAGGUGACGAUGACAACCAGAACUUGGUAUCUGAUCAUUCAGAAGAUGGGACUUCCUCUUACCAAGGUACUGACAUGUGGGACCUACCUGUGCCUGGCAUGGUCACCUCCACUUCAGAAUAUGACAAUGUCGGAGCUGGCACUUGGAGCCUGACAUCCUCCCCUGAUGCCUAUGCUAGCCCCAUAGUAGACAUGGUACAGCUAGAGGGGCAGUCUAGCCCUUUUGUAGCUGUGACACAACCUAUGUCUGAUCCUCUGGGAAAGACUGAAUACAGAACAGUAAUUUCAGAUGAAGAACAACCAGCCAACCAGGUGUUCCUUUUUGAGGGAACUAGUGAGUUGGGUCACAUGAUCACGAGUGGGCGAAGUUCAGUUGGGAGCAAGAACGACAACAAAAGUAGAGGAGGAUCAGAGGAAACUGACUGGAUAGAGCAACACAGUGAUCAUUCACCCUUUGUUCUGGUUGAUACGUCGACUGUCAUUCAGGACACUUCAGCCAGUCUUCAUUCAUGUCCAGGAGAAGAUGCCAAGACUCAAAUUCAGACUGACCAGUCAUUAUCCCCAGGCCUUGUUGAUUGGGACCAUUUUGUUUCCAAGAAACAUGAUAGCUCUGAAUCAACGUCAUCAUCACAUGAUCUGCCGGUCACCACGGCGUACAAUGAUGAUGGGCUUGCCACAAAAAGCCAAGGUGGUCUGAAUAAUGAGAGCAUUGGAAAGGAGUUUAAAACAACAGAAACCAUGUCUCUGAGCUCAAGCUCUGGGGGGGAGAGAGACGCCAUGAAGUAUAGCCCCGACGGCCUUCUCCCAGGUAGUCGAGAUGAACUCCGGUCCAAUUCUGAUGGAGAUUCAUCGUCGGGCCUAGAAAUGGACUACAUCAUAGUGUCUGGCACAGUGAAAGAAGCUGAGAGAGAGUGGCGCGAUCGGCCUAAACAUGGUAACAGACAAUCAAAAGGAACAAGAAGAUCCAUGGAGACAUUUAGCAUGCUUUCCUACGCUGCCACAGUACUGCAAUCCCAGGCCCAAGCUUCACAAAGAGAACAACAGGGGAACGCAGAACAAAGUAGGCAAAACCAAAUGAUCAGGAGUACUGACAGUCCACUUAGUACAGAUACAGAGAAAGAUCCAGCUGUUUUAUCUACUCAUUACCAAGCAAGUCUUGAUCAUGCCACUGAGCAUUGCAUGGUGCCAGAAAUGAUCACUCCCAGCCAAUCAACAAUUAACUCUGAAGCUCCUCGUCUGUCAGAUUCGAGACCAACAAGUUGCAGUCAAACACAGGCAGAAGACGGAAACGAUGACGAUAAAUCAAGCAUUGUGGCCAGAAGCAUGUCUCCAUCAUUAAGAUACCCAUCGGACCAUUUCUUGAAAACCAGAGAGGAAGUUUAUGUUCAUUCACAGAUCUCAAUGGAAGAUUCAGAUGAGGGUGGGCAGUCACCCUCUGCACCUCCACCAUGUCCGACGUCUUUGGGGGAAUUUAAAGUCUGGAGGGGGCAGGACACACCUAGAACCACUUCUGAACCGCAAUCACCUGUCUGUACCAACAGUUCAGUCUCCCAAUCCAGCUCUUUUAUUGGGACCCCACUGAGUGAAUCAGGUAUUUCUACCGACAGAGGACUUGGGUUACCUUUUUCUGGAGAUUUAAUGGAAGAGGAGAAUGACGAGGAAGAGCAGAGGGAAACUGAUACGGAGCACUCUGAUAUACCAAAAUGGAGUGAGACGGAAGAAAGACAACAGUUAGGUUCUUCCGAUCUGCUAAGUUUCACUGAGGAGCUGACUGGAGGCUUUUCAAGUCAACAGACACAUUUAAAAACAGUGGAGCCAAAGAGGGACAGAUUCCUACCGAGUACACUGGAUUACUACGAUGAACAGCCUGGAAGAACUGAUGAUCGUGAUAAAUGGUCAACUCAACAACAGAUCGGAGACCAUGCAGCUUCUCGAGAUAGCUAUUCACCCAUUUUAAGAAGACACCAACAAGAUGUGACAUCACAAUUUUCCUCCCAGCCACCCAACGAGAACGCUGCCUACGAGUGGACAGGAAGUCAGAAUUUAACUCAGGGUCAAACCCAGUACGGCUACAACUACCACCACAUUGACCAAAGAACUGAAAACCAGAGUCCCCACCCGGCCUGUGUGGAUACAAAAUCCAACAGCCAGCAAAACACUGCAGACGUCUAUGCUGAGUUUACAACUGAUGCCACAGCCAUGCAGUACGGCUCCGGGCAGGCUGGAAGCUAUUAUGAACCCGGAGUCAGUGCCGAGUACAGCUUGCACGAUUCAGGUUCCAAGUUUCAAUAUCUAACGAAGGGCCUGUAUGGAGAUGACUCGGACUCCGUGCACACCUCUGAACUCCAGUGCUCUCAGUAUCAAGCUGAUGGUCAAAGUCAGUAUGAGUCUGACCACGCUCAUUACCAGUUUGAUGGACAAUCGUUCUACCAAUCUGCCGUCCAGCCCGAAAGGGAAGAUCAUGCACGGUAUGUGCAAGAGGAAUAUGUUCACUUUCUCCUGGAAAGGUGA
RNAcentral lists this long non-coding RNA (4194 nucleotides) under Sparus aurata (gilthead seabream). RNAcentral describes it as "lncRNA (ENSSAUG00010011527.1)". Lineage: Eukaryota; Metazoa; Chordata; Actinopteri; Spariformes; Sparidae. The record is from RNAcentral.